Molecule: long non-coding RNA, 1006 nt
Organism: Mesocricetus auratus (golden hamster)
Lineage: Eukaryota; Metazoa; Chordata; Mammalia; Rodentia; Cricetidae
Exons: 2
Source: RefSeq, a predicted model, not a curated record
CUUUCAGAGCCAAACAGCUGUGCUCCGCCUCUGUUCCCCGGGCACCUGCCAGCCUCCUUCCCUGCUGGAGUGCUUCCCUGCAGCGGCACUGGAGAAUGUCACUAGCCAGACCAAGGCACAGAAGGCACAUCACAGAAAAAUCUUGUCACAAUGCCUUCCCACACACUUGUGAAAGUGACAGGCAUUUGUAAAUAAUUUACAAGAGGAUAAAUUCCUUAUUGAAAUUGAGGACCGUGAUAUCUCUGCUCUCAGGAGCAGUAGCUGCGCCCAGCGAUGAGAAGAUCAGAAAUCAGCCCGGACAAGGCUGAGUGAAAAGCCUGAGUCACACGAGCAAGCUCAGACAAACCAGUCCUGUCGUCGGGACUUAACUGCCUCUGUAUCGUGAAAGCAAACCAAGCCUGGAGGGGUGGGGGCGGAGGAAAAUGAAGAGCAAAUGUCCUGUCUGACCCGGGAGAGCAGCAGGAAGGCGUUUGAAGAGAAGCCACACUUGCAUUUCUCCGAAGGAACUUCACCAGUCCGCUGGUGAGACGCCACUUUUGUAGAAAAUUAUGUAUGAACAUUGAAGAUUAGGAAGCAUUGAAUGUAUAGAUUGGUUUCUGGUCUAUGCGCUCUAAGCUGUAUCCCUAGACCCAGAAUUCUUAGCAAAGAUUUCCCAGGGUGUAGGACUGUGAGCCUAUUUUGUUUACUAUUGUCUAUUUCUAGUAACUCUUUUCACCCUUUAAGGCAGGGAAAAGGCUCAGAACCCACUUUAUAGCACAGACUGGCUUUGAAUGUACUAUGCAGCCAGGUACUGGCCUUACACUCACAGUAAUCCUCCGGCCUCUGUUUCCUAAGUUCUAGAAUUCCAGGUAAGCCCCUAUGCCAGGCUUAAGUUAGUGCCAUGAAAACUACAGAUUUACCAAUUUUUUCCCUUUUGCCUGUAAACUUCUAAAAUAAUUAAAAUUGUAUACAUAUUUUAUUUAUGUCAACACUGGAGCACCUGCUAUAAAUAAAAACUCAAAUAAUC